This 500-nucleotide ribosomal RNA is filed under the name uncultured Glomeromycotina. RNAcentral describes it as "partial small subunit ribosomal RNA". It matches the Rfam family "Eukaryotic small subunit ribosomal RNA", at positions 591 to 1092 of the family's 1831-position model. The record is from RNAcentral. Lineage: Eukaryota; Fungi; Glomeromycota.
CCAAUAGCGUAUAUUAAAGUUGUUGCAGUUAAAAAGCUCGUAGUUGAAUUUCGGGGUUAGUAGGUUGGUCAUGCCUCUGGUAUGCACUGGUCUCACUGAUUCCUCCUUCCUGAUGAGCCGUAAUGCCAUUAAUUUGGUGUUGCGGGGAAUCUGGACUGUUACUUUGACAAAAUUAGAGUGUUUAAAGCCAGCUAACGCUUGAAUACAUUAGCAUGGAAUAAUGAAAUAGGACGUUCGAUCCUAUUUUGUUGGUUUCUAGGAUUGACGUAAUGAUUAAUAGGGAUAGUUGGGGGCAUUAGUAUUCAAUUGUCAGAGGUGAAAUUCUUGGAUUUAUUGAAGACUAACUACUGCGAAAGCAUUUGCCAAGGAUGUUUUCAUUAAUCAAGAACGAAAGUUAGGGGAUCGAAGACGAUCAGAUACCGUCGUAGUCUUAACCAUAAACUAUGCCGACUAGGGAUCGGAUGAUGUUAAUUUUUUAAUGACUCAUUCGGCGCCUUACG